Molecule: ribosomal RNA, 788 nt
Filed under: uncultured bacterium
Lineage: Bacteria
Description: bacterial SSU rRNA
Rfam family: Bacterial small subunit ribosomal RNA
Source: RNAcentral
AGAGUUUGAUCAUGGCUCAGGACGAACGCUGGCGGCGUGCUUAACACAUGCAAGUGGAGCGACGAACCAGGGCUUGCCCUGGGGCAGAGCCGCGAACGGGUGAGUAACACGUGGGUUACCUGCCUCGAUGACCGGGACAACCCGAGGAAACUCGGGCUAAUACCGGAUGUGCCCGCAAGGGGAAAGGAAGCUUCGGCCUCCGCAUCGAGAUGGGCCCGCGGCCCAUUAGCUUGUUGGUGAGGUAACGGCUCACCAAGGCUUCGAUGGGUAGCUGGUCUGAGAGGACGAUCAGCCACACUGGGACUGAGACACGGCCCAGACUCCUACGGGAGGCAGCAGUGGGGAAUCUUGCGCAAUGCGCGAAAGCGUGACGCAGCAACGCCGCGUGGGGGAAGAAGGCUUUCGGGUUGUAAACCCCUUUCAGUUGGGACGAAGCUUCGGCGGUGAAUAGUCGACCGGAGUGACGGUACCUUCACAAGAAGCACCGGCUAACUACGUGCCAGCAGCCGCGGUAAUACGUAGGGUGCAAGCGUUGUCCGGAAUUAUUGGGCGUAAAGAGCGUGUAGGCGGCCCCAUUAGUCCGCUGUGAAAGUCCAGGGCUCAACCCUGGAAUGCCGGUGGAUACUGUGGGGCUAGAGUCCGGAAGGGGCGAGUGGAAUUCCUGGUGUAGCGGUGAAAUGCGCAGAUAUCAGGAGGAACACCAAUGGCGAAGGCAGCUCGCUGGGACGUGACUGACGCUGAGACGCGAAAGCGUGGGGAGCAAACAGGAUUAGAUACCCUAGUAGUCC